Maylandia zebra (zebra mbuna) is the source of this 70-nucleotide non-coding RNA. Lineage: Eukaryota; Metazoa; Chordata; Actinopteri; Cichliformes; Cichlidae. The record is from Ensembl.
GGUAAGAUGGCUGAGUGUUAAGCGGUGGACUGUAGUCCCACGAACAGAGGUUCAAAUCCUCUUCUUAUCA